AGGAAUGUGCCUUGCAGAUUCAUGGGACAUACAGUAGAAGCAGAGGGAUUAUAUCAGAAUUACCUCUUAGUGUCCCAAGUGCUACAGGUGUCAUUCUAGCUCAUGGUAGGUAUUAUUUAUAAUGAAUUCAUCAAAAAGCAAAAAUCACUAUAAGAUAGAGCUGAUAAACAUUAAUUAUUUAUUAGUUGUAUUUUUUUCUAAUCUACCUUCCAGUAACUGCUAUUACUUUUAAAUUAAUAUUGUGUGUCUUUUGCCUCUUUAUUGUUUUGUUUGUUGAUUUUCAUGUUUCACAGUCAUCUGAUUUUCCACGUGAUAUUUACAGUUUAUUCAAAUUUUCUGUGACACCUCUGACCAAGGUGAGGCGAGGGUACUCUUUCCUGCAGUAAUUAUAUUUUAUCAAAUAUGCAUUUAAGAGGACAACCGCAUAACUGCAAAAAAAUUAUGCAUGAAUGGUCUUCUUAAAAUAGAUAUGUUUAGUAUUGGAAGGAACAACUACAAACAAUGUUUUUUGUGUUAUGCAGGUCAUGUAGCUGAUGCUUUACAGACGACCAAACCAGAUGUGUAUAUAACUACUGACGGUAGAUACAAUUGGAGAAAGGUCUGUCACACGCAUAGAUAUAAUAAGCAAAACUUACUUAAAGUAAAUGAAACUUUGAUUCAAUGGGUACAAACAAACCAAAGGCCCUUUAUAGCUUGCUGUUCUAUGUGAAUCAAGGCUUUGAGUUGAAGGCCGUACUUUGACCCAUAAUGGUUUAUUUUUUACUAAGUGUGACUUGGAUGGAUUGAUGUCUCAUUGGCACUCAUACCACAUCUUUGUUUAUCUAUAUAAAACCAUAAUACUUGGUAGGGGGAUUUGUAACGAAAAUAUUUGUGAGGGCAUUUGAUAAUAUAUGAGAUAUAUUGAAAUAGAAUGUAGUGGUAUGAUUGCCAAUGAAGCAAUUAUCCACCAGACACCAAAUGAUGAAGAAGGUAGGCAACUAUAGGUCACUGUACAGCCUUUCAAGAAUGAGCAAACCCAAAACUGCAAAGCAUGUAUUAUAAAUAUGUAAAUCAAUAAAAAAAAAAAAAAUAUGAUAUACAUUAACAAAUGAAAACCACUAAAGUACAUAUUCCUGACUUCAGACAGUCAUAUACAAAAUGUGUGGUUUAGACACGCAAAAGGGUCUUAUUUGCUGUUUUCAUUUUAUAAUUUAGUUUAUAAGCCAUUGCAAAUACCUGGCAGGGCUAAUUAAAAUGAGAAUGUGGAAAUAAUUUGUCAAUUUUACUAAAUAUUAUAUAUCUUGUAAAAACAGUUCACUGAAGGUUAUUAUCGUGUAAUUGUUCAUUGAUGAAAGCUUUUAAUAUGCUAAUUAUCCUUUAAUAUGUACCAAUGUAACAGGUAGAGUAUUCAUAUUGAUAAUAAUAAAGGGGCCUCAGUGAUCGAGUGGUCUAAGUAAGUACUUCUGUAAUCACUAGCCAGUCAACACAGAGGUUGUGAGUUGAAACCCUACUCGUGCGAGUGCACUCGACUCCAAUCUUAAUUCUUAAUUGACUAGGAUUGUCAGUUUUCCAAUCGAAGUCAGUGGUUUUCUCCAGGCACUUUGGAUUCCUCCACCUAUAAAAACUGCACAUUACGAAAUAGUCCAAACGUGGUGCUAUAAAAUGGUAUUAAAAACACAAAUCAGCAGUAUUCUUUAUGAUUCUCUUUGAGGCUUUAGAUGGUCCACAUCAUUAUCAUAUAGCAGACAGUGGUAGUUUACUAGUGGCAGUCCCAGCUGAUACAACUCAACCUAAACUUAUCAAAUUUCUACUGACGAGGGAAGGUGUUGGCAUACAUACGAUUUCAUUGACAAGGAGAGUAAUGAGACUAUCAUGUUUACUGGACUGUUAACAGAGCCUGGGUCCAAGGCCUUGACUGUCAGUAUAUGGGGUUAUAAACCAGACACAAGAAAGUGGACCACAUUUAUCAUUGAUUUCCAAAAAAUAUUCAAAAAGAAGUGUGGUAUGUAUCAUGAAUUUCUGAUGCCCAAAAUUAAGUUCUUUGUGACUUUUCUCAUUUCUAUUGGUGUAAAGUUUUCUUGGUCUCUAACCCCUAGGUGUUUUUUUUUAAAUGAUGUUUAGACGUACUUGAAAUCUUUAUUUCCUCCCAAGAUUAGUAAACAUGGUAAAUGAUUAAAUUAUAAAGAUAAGUUUCUAUACUAAUGGUAAGGUCAUUUUAAAAAAGGGAAAUGAGAUAAAAUGUUCUUGUGUCUUUUCUUGCUUAUUGAUUCACCAUACCCAUCAUAUAAAACCUAAAUUUACCAGAUAUGAUGUCAUUGUGGUUGUUAUCAACCCCUAAGUGUCCUUUAGUUUUUGUGUUGUUUGGUAGGAAUGUUUCAUUGAAAGGAGUAGGUCCAGUAAGACCCCUUUUUGGCCCCAAAAUAAAGCAGUUUUACAAAAUUGUUAAAAUGUAAACUUUUAGUUAUUUAUUGGAUAGUAGAAUUGUUCUGCUACAUAAAUAUAGGCUGUUUUUGACGUUUCAAUGCACAUAUAUUGGGUACUAGCACCAUUAAGUCAUGCUAAAUUACUGAAAUAUUCAAAAUUCCAGCAUUUUAGUUUAAUUUCAGACGGUUUCCGUGUAAAACGAAAGUUCAUCCAAAAUAUUGAAAUCUUUCAUAUAUAUUAUUUGAAUCAAAUGAAAUGGACACUACUCAUCAUUAAAAACGCUCCGAUUCAAGCUCAAAUACGAAAAAUCUACCAAAUAUGCGAAAAAAUGUCACUUUUCAGAUGGUUUUUGUCAAAAAUGAAAUUGGCCGCAUUUGUGUUCAUCCUCAAUCUUUAUAUAUGUUAUGUAUUAUUAUCAAAUACAACUUCCAUUUCAAUAUUUUGGAUGAACACGAAUGGGGCCACUUUCGUUUUACCUUUAACCAUGUAUCUUCUUUUAUCCUUACCGGACCUACUCCUUUAACCAUGUAUCUUCUUUUAUGCAUAUAUUUGGGGUUUUCAUUUGACUAUACAAUAAAGGUAAAAAAAACACUAAACUCAGGCAUGGUCAUAAAUAACAUACAAAAAAGUAGUACAUAUUUUAAACAAAAUAGUUUGAUACAUUUCUGCAACUUUGUCAAUAAGUAAAAUAUUUAGGUUGUUUAUGUAUUAAAUGAAAGUUUAAGUGCCGCAUGUGGAGCAGGAUCUGCUUACCCUUCCGGAGCACCUGAGAUCACCCCUAGUUUUUGGUGGGGUUCGUGUUGUUUAUUCUUUAGUUUUCUAUGUAGUGUCAUGUGUACUAUUGUUUUUCUGUUUGUCUUUUUUCAUUUUUAGCCAUGGCGUUGUCAGUUUGUUUUAGAUUUACGAGUUUGACUGUCCCUUUGGUGUCUUUCGUCCCUCUUUUAAGGACUUUAGAUCCCUGCAGAAGCCUUGUUUUCCUUUUGAAUUAUAAAAAAAAAUACAGGAAAUUUAAAUAGAAGGGCAUAUUUUUUGUAUGUACUUCCAAACUUCCAGGAUGGUGGGCUCUAAAAUGCAAGUAAGGGUAUGUUGAAUUUUUAUGCCCCAAAUUAGAUAGUAGAGGGGCAUUAUGUUUUCUGGUCUGUCCAUCCGUUCGUCCGUCUGUCUGUCUGUCCGUUGUCCGUCUGUCCCACUCCAGGUUAAAGUUUUUGGUCAAGGUAGUUUUUGAUGAAUGGACUUCAAACUUAGUACACAUGUUCCCUGUGAUAUGAUCUUUCUAAUUUUAAUGCCAAAUUAGAGUUUUUACCCCAAUUUCACGGUCCACUGCACAUGGAAAAUGAUAGUGCGAGUGGGGAAUUCGCGUACUGAGGACACAUUCUUGUUCUGCAUAAGUCUGGACAAGGUAUACUGUAGUUUCGACUUUAGAUGACUGUCUCUUUAUUUAAAUGAAAUAGCUAAGUAUGCUCAUAUUUGGCAAGAUAAUGUAUUAUUGUUCAUCCAGCUCCAGCACAGUUGAUGUUUUUUGUAUAACUUUCAACAUUACACUAUAGUUGAAAUAAUUUUAUUUCAACAGAUACUGCAACAGAUUAUGACACAUGGGUACCCCAUGAAACAAGUAAUGAAAAAGGAAAUAUACAAGGAUGUCUGCUGGGAAAUAAAGAAACGUUUAAAAAAGUAAAAAAAGACUCAUGGUAUGUUAAAAGUGUUGAGUGAAUUGAGAUUUUUUAUACAAUAGGAGUUUUUCUCCUGUUUUGUAGCAAGUACAAAUAAAUUUCAUAACUUAGUGGUAUCCUUAACUUAACCCGACAAUUGAAACUUUAUCAUUGUUUCUAAUAUCUCAAAGAAUUCAAUAUACAUUUAGUUGAAACACUGACAGCAAACAGGACCCCAAAAUGAACUGGUUAGGAAACAGAAAUAUUCAUAUCGUAUUCGGCCGUGUAUAGUACGCAUUUAUACAUAGUCCGCACCCCCUCUUCAUCCCCUUAAAAUCGAGAAAAAAAAGUUUUGUAAAAAAGUUUUUUUUUUUUGUUUUUUUUUUUAUAAAAGUGAAGUUCACUGUAAAAAUCCAAAUGUAUUUAAUAGAAAAAAAAAUGUGUUUUUUUUUUUUUUUUUAAAUAAUAAAAUGGUAGAGCUUUUCAUCAGGUAAUUCAUAUUUGAUAAUUUUAUAAAAGUAGUUAUCAUCAAAAGAUCUCUUUUAAAAUCAACAUUUGUCUAAGUUUGUCCAAGCUGAUAUAUAAUAUAACAGAAAUAAUUUGAAUAUUAUGGAACAAAAGAAAAAAGAGAUCAAACAUUUAUCUAAACUAAUUAGCAGUAAUCAAAAUUUUAAAACUAUUUAAUCUUAUAUAAUCUUUUCAUUGAUCAUGUUGUUUUUUUGCCUGGGAUUAUAAUAUCUAACACCUGUCAAAACUUGACAUCAUAAUUUAAUUGCUACACACCCAUACUUAAUCCUUAAUUACCCGUCUUAAUUACCUAUGCAGGAUGUCACACUUUCACUUUGAAUAAUCAAUUUUGAAGAGAAAAGUUAAAAAAGAAUAAGAUUUGAAUGAAAUAAAUAUCAUAAACGUCUCCAAUAUUCAUAAUUCAGGGAAAAAAAAAGAAAAAAAAAAGAUUUUUUUUUUUUAUGAAUUUCGAAAACCGUCUUUAGUUGUGUAUAGUCCACAUCCCUUGUACAAACUACAUAUUUAAGGAAAAAAAGUGCGGACUCUACAUGCCCAAAUACGGUUUAACGCUUUAUUGAAAUGAUUCAUUAUGUUCAAGUUGAAUAGUUAAUCAAUACAAAACUGUUAAAUAUGUCUGAAUUUUUGUCCUUUUGAAGGUGCUAUAAUGGUGCAGAUCACCCAUUGGAACAUACAGGAGAAGCAUGUACAUGUGUCAGGGAUGAUUAUGAAUGGUAAGAUAUGUAUAAUGGCUAGUGUUGUGAUAUAUUGAGUUAAUUGUCAUAAUAGAGAUGUCAGAGACAUAUAAUGCCAAAUUUUUAAAACUGCUAUAUUAAAUACAGAUAUAAUAUUAGACUGUAUAAUUAUAUUUUUAUCAAUCACCUCUUUAAAGAUUUUCUCCACUACAGCAUAUUUUCAAUCAACGCUUGAAAGUUUUUAUUUUUUUCCCGUUUUAAAUAAAGAUAUUAUGGACAAAAAAAGUAGAACAUCAUCCAAAAAUGAAAAUUAACAGAUGUCCCACAAAAAAGGAUGGUGUACUGACUUUUGAUGAAAUUUCUGUAAGUUCCUAAUCACUGGUAAUACUCAUUUCUGCACGUUAAAGACACUUGUAGAUUUUCAUAAGAGCAGUCCUAUGUGGCUACAAGGCAGCACUCUUAUCAGCAAAGUGGAAAAGGAUUAAUAUUAGUUGUAAUAAUUUUUUUCCCAAUCCACUAUACAUAAAAAUGAUUAAACUAAAAACAUAAUACAUGUGUUAUAUAAAUAUUUCAGUGAUUAUGGGUUUUACCGACCUGAUGGUAGGGAUGAUUGUGUAGAACAACCUAAUUUCAAUUUACCUAAGGUGGAUGUAUGUAAACAAGGUCACGAAGAACAAGUUAUAACACAGGGGUAGGUAUCAUUAUUUUAAAUCAAUUUAACUGGUCAUGAAGAACAAGUUAUAACACAGGGGUUGUAAUAAUUAUUUUAACUUAAUUUAACUGAAGUUGAUACACCUUAUCGCUAUUUGUCUGCCAUUACAAGACAUCACAAGUGGAAAGUGAUUGUUGUAUGAUGUCCAAAGUUCAAGCGGGACAGAUUAUCGGGUCAAGUGGAAAGAGCGAUAAGCUGAUUUAUGGAAGCAAGAGUCUCUCCCUCAUUGACAUAAAGGUACAUUUUAUCUGAAACUUAUAUCACAUAAGAAAUAAUAUUUAUUGUUUUUUAUAGCAAGUGAGAAUUUGUUAACGGCUCAAAUUUUUAAAUUUCAAUAUAAUAAUGACCAAUAUGUCCUAUUCCUCCUUAAACUUUAAACACACAUGUUUUUUGCCAUAGAUAGGGGCAUAUUUUCCAAAGUAAAAAGUUGUGAAGGAAGAAGACAGAUUACUCAAUACAUAAAAAAAGACUUUCCUGACUAUGGGUGCAAUCAACAGUAUUUUUCUAUGAUGUCAUGUUUUAAGGGACCAUGCAUAUGUGACCCUUACUGGUGGACUGAUUAAUAAAGAUACUUGUAUAAAACUAGAUAUCACUGGAAUCAGAAUGCUCUCUGGUUUAUAAUGAAAUAAAAAUAAUGUGUACUUUUAAUAUAUUAUAAAAAUUUCAUCCAAUGAACAUGGGGGGAAAAAAGGUAUAAUUUUAACAUAAAAAACUUGAAAUCAGGUCAAGUGCACACCCAUGUCAGACAUGAUCCAUGCACAUUUUGCAUAAUCAAAACUGUAUGAAUAUUGUAGGUUUUUACCUGGCCUUUCAAAAAAAUCUUGUUUCAGGGUUCGAUUUCCUGCUCCGAAAAGAGCUACAGUGGCUGCAAAUAAGUUUUCAAUUUUCACUGCUAAAAAAACAGACUGUUUACAGUGUUGUCUCCCCUAGAAACAUGUUUAUUUAAUAUAAUUUUUAAAAUUAUUUCAAUCAUUCAACCUGUUUUGAUUUAAAGCUAAUUAACUAAUUUUUACAAACAAAUACAAAAAACAUGAUACUUUUUCACCAAGUAAGUAAAUAAACAGGGGUUUUCCUCCAUAGUUAUUUUUAGACGGGGAAUAAUCCCUAGUUUUUAGUACGAAACUGUUUAUAGCACCCUAUGAGACAGGUAGCAUUGAUAUAUUGUUUACAGAAUUGUAAUACAAUGUAUUUUGUUUUUUCACAGAUAUAGAAAAAUACCAAAUGAUAAAUGUGUUGGAGGGUUUUCGCCAAGUGGAAAAAUGUUAAAUUUAGGUGAACAGUGUGCAUCAAAACAUGAGGGUCAGAUAGAUGUGGAGGAAGUACCACAAGAAACAAAGGUAGGGAUAUUUUAUCACUGUAUAUAUCAAGAUCUAUCAAGGAGUUGGUUUGUCAGUCUUUAUUUUUUCUUGGUUUUGGACAUUUUUGUUGUUGUAAUAUUUUAAACAGGAAAAUAACUCUUUUGCAAAUAUUUGGAAGAGAACAGUUAAGUGUAUCACUACUGCUAAAACCUGAUAAUGCAAUGCAGACAAUAAACAGACACUUUAAGCAUAAUGCAACAAAAAAACCAGUUAGAUAUUUAUAGAAUUAAUGAUCCAAUACAUUAUUAACAAGUGACCAAACAACACAUUGAUUCUUUAUCAAAAUAAAUGCCCCAAAAAAUGCUCUUUACUACAAGACUUUUAUUCCUACCAAGUAUUAUAGAUGACAACUCAUGUUGCUGUCAAAUAUGACUGCUAUAUUCCAUUUAGGGAUUUUAUCACUUUUUGAAAAAAUAUAAGAUUGAACAUGUGUAACAUAUAUGAGUUGAGUCAAACAGGCUUCGUCGAAACUCUUUUGUCUUUCUUUUGUGGGUUUUGUGAGUAAAUAGGAUAUUUAUAAAAUUUAUUAUAGCCCCGCUUUAAAAAAGUCGAGGGCAACGGUUUUAUCUCUGUCUGUCUGUCUGUCAGUCCAUUAGUAGGUCCAACCAUCCAUCAAUCUGUGCAUCCAAUGAAUAUUUUCGUCACAUUUUUCGCAGGAACUACACUACAAGGAUUUCUGAAAUUUGGUUUCAGGGUAUAUAUAAUUUAACUAUACCGUAGGGGUAUCAUCAGUUAACAGUAGCUCACAGUUUCACUUGUUUAACACAAAUAUUAUUUUUUUUCUUUCAGAAAACUAACAAUGCCAGUGCUAUAGUAGCUGUGUUUGUGAUUGUUGCUUUAAUAGUAACAAUUAUGGUUGGAUUUUUUGUUUAUAAAUAUAUCAUAUUACGUAAAC
This 8216-nucleotide long non-coding RNA is filed under the name Mytilus galloprovincialis (Mediterranean mussel). Lineage: Eukaryota; Metazoa; Mollusca; Bivalvia; Mytilida; Mytilidae. The record is from RNAcentral.